GUACUCUCUCUGGCAGUGCAUGUUCUAAAAUUGGAAUGAAACAGAGAAGAUGAGCAUGGCCCCUGCACGAGGAUGACAUGCAAAUUUGUGAAAUGUGCCAUAUUUAA
Molecule: small nuclear RNA, 107 nt
Organism: Antechinus flavipes (yellow-footed antechinus)
Lineage: Eukaryota; Metazoa; Chordata; Mammalia; Dasyuromorphia; Dasyuridae
Source: RefSeq, a predicted model, not a curated record